RNAcentral lists this ribosomal RNA (520 nucleotides) under uncultured bacterium. Its description in RNAcentral is "partial 16S ribosomal RNA". It matches the Rfam family "Bacterial small subunit ribosomal RNA", at positions 28 to 507 of the family's 1533-position model. The record is from RNAcentral.
GACGAACGCUGGCGGCGUGCCUAAUACAUGCAAGUCGAACGCACUCUCGUUUAGAUUGAAGGAGUUUGCUCCUGAUUGAUAAACAUUUGAGUGAGUGGCUGACGGGUGAGUAACACGUGGGUAACCUGCCCUAAAGUGGGGGAUAACAUUUGGAGACAGAUGCUAAUACCGCAUAAAACCUAACACCGCAUGGUGUAGGGUUGAAAGAUGGUUUCGGCUAUCACUUUAGGAUGGACCCGCGGUGCAUUAGUUAGUUGGUGAGGUAAAGGCUCACCAAGACCGUGAUGCAUAGCCGACCUGAGAGGGUAAUCGGCCACACUGGGACUGAGACACGGCCCAGACUCCUACGGGAGGCAGCAGUAGGGAAUCUUCCACAAUGGACGAAAGUCUGAUGGAGCAACGCCGCGUGAGUGAAGAAGGUUUUCGGAUCGUAAAACUCUGUUGUUGGAGAAGAAUGUAUCUGAUAGUAACUGAUCAGGUAGUGACGGUAUCCAACCAGAAAGCCACGGCUAACUACGUG